Molecule: long non-coding RNA, 1556 nt
Filed under: Homo sapiens (human)
Lineage: Eukaryota; Metazoa; Chordata; Mammalia; Primates; Hominidae
Description: HSALNT0064630
Source: RNAcentral
GAUGAUUCUCAAUCUAUGCAUGAUGCCAUAUGGGCUUCAAGACCAAGACAGCAUUAUUCCCCUGCUCAAACAAAUGCACUCCAUGUUUUGUUUUGCAAAAUUUGACCUAGAUUAAAUGUACAUUGGCCAAAACAUCUAAGUCUUCCCAAGGCAAUGGUUAUGGGCUAAAUUCUAAAGAAUGCAUCUCUGUGUGUGUUUGUGUGGGGGUGUGUGUGGUGGCGUGUGGUGAGUGUAACACAUGCACAAAAUUCACUCCUGAAGAGACAACUUAGGCAUGACCACAUCUUUCCUGUGUUCCAGGUGUCCCCAUCUUUCCUCUCUGGUCCCAUUUAAACUCUGGGUUUAAUUUGAUCUUCAUACGGACUGUGUCCCUCCACUAGCAAACGUGGAACAACUUGAUGCGUCUAGUGCUGUGCUGAGCAUUCAGGCUAAUAGUCUGGCCAGCUUGGGGCAGACAUCCUCAUGAGCAAACAUCGAUUAUAGAAUACUAAAAAAGAUACAAGAGAACUCAGUGGGGUUAUUAUGGAAAUGGAAACAACAAACCAAAAGAAAUUUCAGGUCAAGGUAAUGUAACUAACUGGUUAAUGUGUACCUUUCAAAACUGCAUUGUUUUCUUCCUAAGAGCUAGUUGGCAGUGUGUAUUAAAUGUUUUUAAAAUUCUGAAUAAAUCUGAUGAAGCACUUCCAUUUCAAGAAAAUUCCCUUAAGGAAAUGUCAAUGGACAUGUGUAAAGAUUUCUCACCCCAAAAAUGUCUAUCAUAGUUUUUUUUCUGGUAUAAUAAGAGCAAAGGAGUAAACUUAACUAGCCAAUUUCAUGACAGUGUUGAGAUACAUACAUUGUAUAAUGGAAGAUUUGCAGUGAUUAAAAAUAAGUUGGUAAGGCCAGGCACAGUGGCUCAUGCCUGUAAUCCCAGCACUUUGGAAGGCCAAGGCAGGCAGAUCACUAGAGGUCAGGAGUUCGAGACCAGCCUGGUCAGCAUGGUGAAACCCCAUCUCUACUAAAAAUACAAAAAUGAGCCAGGCGUGGUGGCAUGCUCCUGUAAUCCAGCUACUUGGGAGGCUGAGGCAGGAGAAUUGCUUGAACUGGGGAGGCAGAAUUUGCAGUGCGCCGAAAUUGUGCUACUGCACUCCAGCCUGGGUGACAGAGCAAGACUCCAUCUCAAAUAAUAAUAAUAACUUGGUAAGGAAUCAGUAAUGACAUGUAAUGGGGUACACACCUGCUACUCCAAGUGUGUUCCCGCGACCGGCAGCAUGUGCUUCCCAGGAACUUGUUAGACAUGCAGAAUUCCAGGUCCCACCCAGACCUACUGAAUAGGAAUCUGCAUUUUAACAAAGUUCCCCAAAUGAUUUCUACAUGCAUUACCAUUUGAGAAGCACUGGCAUAUGCUGUAUUUUUUUAAGCAAAAGAAAAAUAUGUAUAUUAUGAUUCCAUUUUUGACUCUCUCAAGUAUGACUACAUGGAUAGAAGAAAAGAGUCGAUGGAUAUACAUGAAAAUGUAAGCAGUAAUGAUCUUGGGGUGCUGUACUUUUUAUGUUCUUCUUUUAUUCUAAAUUUUC